Molecule: ribosomal RNA, 549 nt
Filed under: Triticum aestivum (bread wheat)
Lineage: Eukaryota; Viridiplantae; Streptophyta; Magnoliopsida; Poales; Poaceae
Description: partial small subunit ribosomal RNA
Rfam family: Small nucleolar RNA Z247 (bases 139-277)
Source: RNAcentral
AUGCUUGCAUCCCACACUCGUUCCCAGACCACAAACGUCAGGAUCGCCCUCGCCAAUCUACAGAAGGGCAACUCAUCCAUCACCGACUACGUCGGGAAGAUCAAGUCCCUCUGCGACGAAUUGAUCGCUGCGGGGAAGAAGGUGGACGACGACGACAUCGUCUCCCACAUACUGGCCGGGCUCGAUGAAGAUUUCGAUCCGGUGGUUUCUGCCAUGUGUUCCCGGGUGGAGCCGGUGACCGUGGCAGAACUGUUCUCACAACUGCUGAGCUUUGAAACAAGGCUCAAUCUUCGGGGCGGAGGGUCUCAAUCCUCUGCCAACGCAGCCACCCGAGGUCGUCGAAACGGCGCUGGCGGUGGUGACCGCGGUCGCCGCCAAGGUGGCAAUGGUGGUGACCGCGGCGGGCGCGGCGGCGGCUACUCCAAAUCUGGAGGGCGUGGUAGCGGACACGGCAACAACAACAGCAGCGGGGGCAACUACAACAACAACCAUGCCUCUGCUCCGAGGGUCCAGUGCCAGAUAUGUGGCAAGAUGGGCCACCCAGCCUAG